Notolabrus celidotus (New Zealand spotty) is the source of this 452-nucleotide long non-coding RNA. RefSeq lists it as uncharacterized. Lineage: Eukaryota; Metazoa; Chordata; Actinopteri; Labriformes; Labridae. The transcript has 3 exons. The record is from RefSeq and is a predicted model, not a curated record.
UCAAGGUGUAAACACGCCCACCUUUCGGACAGAGACACCACAUCGUUGUACUCUUGUCCUUACGCUCAGACAGUAUGUCUAAUACGAGUCUCUUUAUCAAUCUAUCGGUCGCCAAAUCUCUCACCACACCUUUCAAAAAGUCUUUUCAUUUUAAAGCGAUCAGUGUUAGAUCAGAAGAAAAUGUAAUCACUAGAACAUAUGUGACAAGACCAGGCCUUCAUUUCAUGUAAAACAUCAACUAAAUUACAUAACCAAUCACUUCAUCUUGGACACCAGCUCGUAGAAGUUAGCCAACCAUGCUAACGUGUAGCUGCCUGUCGUUGAGAGGACGACUAAACGACCAGGUGCUGCAGCAUCACUCUCUCUUCACUUGACUGACCGCUGACAGAUCAAUCCAGUCGACAGGAACGGGACGGACUAAACCAUUCCGUGCAAUCGGAAGGAGGUACUGC